UACGAAGGGGGCUAGCGUUGCUCGGAAUCACUGGGCGUAAAGGGUGCGUAGGCGGGCCUUUAAGUCAGGGGUGAAAUCCUGGAGCUCAACUCCAGAACUGCCUUUGAUACUGAGGAUCUUGAGUUCGGGAGAGGUGAGUGGAACUGCGAGUGUAGAGGUGAAAUUCGUAGAUAUUCGCAAGAACACCAGUGGCGAAGGCGGCUCACUGGCCCGAUACUGACGGCUGAGGCACGAAAGCGUGGGGAGCAAACAGG
Molecule: ribosomal RNA, 254 nt
Filed under: uncultured bacterium
Lineage: Bacteria
Description: partial 16S ribosomal RNA
Rfam family: Bacterial small subunit ribosomal RNA
Source: RNAcentral